This 922-nucleotide ribosomal RNA is filed under the name Acinetobacter sp. BSA 51. RNAcentral's name for it is "bacterial SSU rRNA". It matches the Rfam family "Bacterial small subunit ribosomal RNA", at positions 31 to 959 of the family's 1533-position model. Lineage: Bacteria; Pseudomonadati; Pseudomonadota; Gammaproteobacteria; Moraxellales; Moraxellaceae. The record is from RNAcentral.
UGACGCUGGCGGCAGGCUUACACAUGCAAGUCGAGCGGAGCGAGGGUGCUUGCACCUUAGCUUAGCGGCGGACGGGUGAGUAAUGCUUAGGAAUCUGCCUAUUAGUGGGGGACAACAUUCCGAAAGGGAUGCUAAUACCGCAUACGCCCUACGGGGGAAAGCAGGGGAUCUUCGGACCUUGCGCUAAUAGAUGAGCCUAAGUCGGAUUAGCUAGUUGGUGGGGUAAAGGCCUACCAAGGCGACGAUCUGUAGCGGGUCUGANAGGAUGAUCCGCCACACUGGGACUGAGACACGGCCCAGACUCCUACGGGAGGCAGCAGUGGGGAAUAUUGGACAAUGGGGGGAACCCUGAUCCAGCCAUGCCGCGUGUGUGAAGAAGGCCUUUUGGUUGUAAAGCACUUUAAGCGAGGAGGAGGCGCUCUAGGCUAAUACCCUAGAUGCGUGGACGUUACUCGCAGAAUAAGCACCGGCUAACUCUGUGCCAGCAGCCGCGGUAAUACAGAGGGUGCGAGCGUUAAUCGGAUUUACUGGGCGUAAAGCGCGCGUAGGUGGCUAAUUAAGUCAAAUGUGAAAUCCCCGAGCUUAACUUGGGAAUUGCAUUCGAUACUGGUUAGCUAGAGUAUGGGAGAGGAUGGUAGAAUUCCAGGUGUAGCGGUGAAAUGCGUAAAGAUCUGGAGGAAUACCGAUGGCGAANGCAGCCAUCUGGCCUAAUACUGACNCUGAGGUGCGAAAGCAUGGGGAGCNAACAGGAUUANAUACCNUGGUAGUCCAUGCCGUAANCGAUGUCUACUANCCGUUGGGGCCUUUGAGNCUUUANUGGCNCACCUAACNCGAUAAAUAAACCCCNGGGGAAUACGNNCCCANACUAAACUCAAUGANUUGACGGGGCCCCCCAACGGUGGACAUGUGUUUAUNCAUGCAC